GUCCACGCCGUAACGAUGAUAACUGGUUGUUGGCGAUAUAUUGUCAGCGACUGAGCGAAGCAUUAAGUUAUCCACCUGGGAGUACGUCGGCAACGAUGAACUCAAAGGAAUUGACGGGGCCCGCACAAGCGGAGGAACAUGUGGUUUAAUUCGAUGAUACGCGAGGAACCUUACCUGGGCUCGAACGCAAACGUGCUUGUUCUUGAAAGAGGACAUUCCGCAAGGACGCGUUGCGAGGUGCUGCAUGGUUGUCGU
RNAcentral lists this ribosomal RNA (255 nucleotides) under uncultured bacterium. RNAcentral describes it as "partial 16S ribosomal RNA". It matches the Rfam family "Bacterial small subunit ribosomal RNA", at positions 793 to 1055 of the family's 1533-position model. The record is from RNAcentral.